AUGUGGGCUGCCCUGUGGAAACUCAAAGUGAUCCCAAAGGUACGAGUGUUUUGGUGGAGGGUACUACGAGGGAUUUUACCGGAUGAGUGCACUCUCAAAUACCGUCAUAUUGCAGUUUUAGACACUUGCAAGGUUUGUUUGGCAAAGGAGGAGGAUCUUAUGCAUGUCCUCAUCCAAUGCUCGCAUGCACGCCGCUUCUGGGAUGAAGCGUGUGCGUGGUUUGGCCUUCGGCUACCUCGCUUACACCCACAUUCAUGGGCCAGAGACAUCCUAUGUGGAGACCAAGUCAAGGAGGAAGAUCGAGGAAAGAUUAUCACCAUCAUGUGGACGAUUUGGCAUUCUCGAAAUCGGAUCAAGCAUGGGGAAGAAGGAAGGGAUCCAAAAGCCGCCAUCAAGGCGACUAGAGAGGCUCUUGCACUGUUGGAACUGCCUAGAUCAGUUCCCAUCUUGCUACCAGGGCAUGGCUGGCGACCACCCGAGCCAGGGAUGGUGAAGAUCACGACGGAUGGUGCACUUAACGUCGCGGAAGGAAGAGGAGGGGCGGGUGGUGUAGCCCGUUCCGCGUCCGCGCUGUUGGGAUCAUGGUGCAAGCCGUUUGACUACAGGAGCGAAUUGCUCAUCCAAAGUUACAUCAGGAAGGUGUGCUCUGCAUAUAAUAUGUUGGUUCAAACUAAACAUGAGCAUGAAGGUUGGCUAUUCCACGAGGUAGAUUCUUCAAACAUAUCUGAUUCAAAAGAUAUCAAACUCUGGAAUGCACCGGUUCCAUCAAACCCUACCGACGCAUGGGAUCCUUAG
RNAcentral lists this ribosomal RNA (795 nucleotides) under Triticum aestivum (bread wheat). RNAcentral describes it as "partial small subunit ribosomal RNA". The record is from RNAcentral. Lineage: Eukaryota; Viridiplantae; Streptophyta; Magnoliopsida; Poales; Poaceae.